Molecule: transfer RNA, 113 nt
Filed under: Candidatus Aenigmatarchaeota archaeon
Lineage: Archaea; Nanobdellati; Candidatus Aenigmatarchaeota
Description: tRNA-Leu
Rfam family: tRNA
About the family: Transfer RNA (tRNA) molecules are approximately 80 nucleotides in length. Their secondary structure includes four short double-helical elements and three loops (D, anti-codon, and T loops).
Source: RNAcentral
GCGAGGGUGUCCGAGCGGCCAAAGCCUCGGUCCGCGGGACCGGGCAGUCACAGGGGCUAGCUUGAGGGGCUAGUGGCUUAGUGCCUUCGCAGGUUCGAAUCCUGCCCCUCGCA